This 662-nucleotide ribosomal RNA is filed under the name uncultured beta proteobacterium. RNAcentral's name for it is "bacterial SSU rRNA". It matches the Rfam family "Bacterial small subunit ribosomal RNA", at positions 57 to 712 of the family's 1533-position model. Lineage: Bacteria; Pseudomonadati; Pseudomonadota; Betaproteobacteria. The record is from RNAcentral.
GCAAGUCGAACGGCAGCACGGGUGCUUGCACCUGGUGGCGAGUGGCGAACGGGUGAGUAAUACAUCGGAACAUGUCCUGUAGUGGGGGAUAGCCCGGCGAAAGCCGGAUUAAUACCGCAUACGAUCUACGGAUGAAAGCGGGGGACCUUCGGGCCUCGCGCUAUAGGGUUGGCCGAUGGCUGAUUAGCUAGUUGGUGGGGUAAAGGCCUACCAAGGCGACGAUCAGUAGCUGGUCUGAGAGGACGACCAGCCACACUGGGACUGAGACACGGCCCAGACUCCUACGGGAGGCAGCAGUGGGGAAUUUUGGACAAUGGGCGAAAGCCUGAUCCAGCAAUGCCGCGUGUGUGAAGAAGGCCUUCGGGUUGUAAAGCACUUUUGUCCGGAAAGAAAUCCUUGGUUCUAAUAUAGCCGGGGGAUGACGGUACCGGAAGAAUAAGCACCGGCUAACUACGUGCCAGCAGCCGCGGUAAUACGUAGGGUGCGAGCGUUAAUCGGAAUUACUGGGCGUAAAGCGUGCGCAGGCGGUUUGCUAAGACCGAUGUGAAAUCCCCGGGCUCAACCUGGGAACUGCAUUGGUGACUGGCAGGCUAGAGUAUGGCAGAGGGGGGUAGAAUUCCACGUGUAGCAGUGAAAUGCGUAGAGAUGUGGAGGAAUACCGA